CAGUCGCCGCGGUAAUACAGAGGAUGCAAGCGUUAUCCGGAAUGAUUGGGCGUAAAGCGUCUGUAGGUGGCUUUUCAAGUCCGCCGUCAAAUCCCAGGGCUCAACCCUGGACAGGCGGUGGAAACUACCAAGCUGGAGUACGGUAGGGGCAGAGGGAAUUUCCGGUGUAGCGGUGAAAUGCGUAGAGAUUAGGAGGAACACCAGUGGCGAAGGCGGCUUUUGGCCUGUAACUGACACUGAGGCGCGAAAGCGUGGGGAGCAAACAGGAUUAGAUACCCCGGUAGUCCCUGUCUCUUAUACC
Molecule: ribosomal RNA, 301 nt
Filed under: uncultured bacterium
Lineage: Bacteria
Description: partial 16S ribosomal RNA
Rfam family: Bacterial small subunit ribosomal RNA
Source: RNAcentral